RNAcentral lists this long non-coding RNA (2025 nucleotides) under Musa acuminata (dwarf banana). Its description in RNAcentral is "long non-coding RNA (MACU_LNC000229)". Lineage: Eukaryota; Viridiplantae; Streptophyta; Magnoliopsida; Zingiberales; Musaceae. The record is from RNAcentral.
GUGCUAAAAAUUAUGAGUAGAAUCAACAACAAAAUCUGAGUUCUAGACUGCACUUUCAUGCUAGUUUAAGAUGAUCCAUAGUUACAUAUUAGCAUCAUUAGAUGGCAGCCAAAUCCAAAAUAAGCUUGAUUAGAUAGUUUUAAUAAGAUAGAGGUUUCGAUAGCACUAUUGACCUGGUCCCUUUACAAGGACCGGGCAUCCAACUACAGGAACAAAUUGAAGCCAAGAAAGAAAUGAAUACAACCUUGUUGGACAAAAAGUUCCAAUCACCAGAAGUCCACAUUACAUGUAGAAAGCAGCACAGCACUUGGUAGAUCCAUGGAAAGAAUUGAGAGCCUGCAGGAAGAGAUAAUGAAGAAUACUCAGUCGGGUUUGAUGAUUGGAGGAAGGAAAAAGGUUGAAAAGGAACACUGCACAAUCUACUUUCACUGAUCAUUGUAAUUAAAAGCAACAUGCAUCAAUAAAUCUGAAAAGCUGACUCCAUCCUGAUAUGACAUCUAACACAAGGAUAAGGGUAGACUACAUUAUCUUAGCAAGUAUAGUCUUUUUAUCUUUAUUUUUAUUUUUUCUAGUUGCAGUAUUUUUUAAGUAGGAAAAUUUUAUUUUUUUAUUUUUUAUUUUUUUAGAAAAGGAUAAGUGACAAAGACGAGAUUCGUCGGACAAGUUAAAACCUUAAAUUUGUUGGAUGAGGUUUUCUCAAUAUUUGAAAAGUUAAUCUUGUAACCAAAACUAGUAUGUUAAUAUAAAAAAAUUAUUUUAAGAGGUUUUCAAUUCUUAAUGAAUUAAUUUUGGAGCUGAAAUAUUCUGAUGUGUUCACUGUAGCUUUGGGAGAGAGGUGAAAAUAAAAAUAACUAUUUCAACUAUAAUUUAAAACUUUGGAAUAAGAAUUGACUGAAACAGUGAGCCUCUUUUACAGGAUAGUCAAGUAAAGUUAAGUGUCCAAUGAACUAAAAUUAUAUAUUACUGCAUGUUAAUGUAGCAGCUCCUGCUCUAGCAUUACAAUUGGAGCUAAUAAUAUCCAACUUUCUCAUCUCACUAGCAUUAGAAGUAGCCUCAAGCUAAAUUAAUCUAGUUUAGUUUUAUGAUAAUGCAGAAAGAAAAGCUUUUUUAGUUUGAGGGCUGCAAGCAUUCUAAUAUAAGAAUUGAUUCAUAGGAGGAUCACAAAUUUUGCCAAGACCUGAUAUAAGAUAUAUUGGAUAGUAGAUUUAAUGACAAGUGUAGAAAGUGGCCAAUCAAAUGUGAGCCUUAGCUGUGGCUGUCAACUCUCUGCAAGGAAACUAAUCAAUCUUGGUUGUUCCAGAACAAUAUUGAUAUAUAACAUUACAUAUAUAUUCUUGAUGUGGUGUUGAAUGAUUAAAUGGUCCACCAAGUGGAUCAUGGAGUGUUCCCUUGAGAAGGAGAUUGUCAGAUGGAUGACAUCACAGUGCAUAUAUCAUGUUUCCAACAACAUGACAACUCCUACCUAAAUCUACUGAAGAACAGCACACUCCAUAGCAAAAAGAAUGACCCACUAAGAACCCUUGUGUUGACUCUCUCUCUCUCUCUCUCUCUCUCUCAAUUUAUAAUCUUAUUCCAUAUGGAAUAAACUCAGGUAUGACAGAUGUAUUUGAAUGUAUAACCUCCAUGAAUUCAGCAUGGCUACAUGUUUUGCAUAUCUGUAUCUGAUUACUGACAUGCUACUAAAAUGAGAACAAUGAUGACAUGAAUACAGAAACUGGCAGCUUCAGGAAUAGUAUUUGGCUGCUGUAAUUUAGAGCACAUUGUUGUAGCUCCUCAAUAAUGCAUAUUGAUGUGUACAUAAGAUGUAGAAAGAGAUUCCGAUUGCUAUUUUCUAAAAUAAAAAAUAAAUUAAAAGAAAAGAAAAUUAAAAGGCAUCACUGGAAUCUACCAGCCUUUCUUUUUCGGAGCUUCUACUUGCUUGGAAUUCUGGAAGUGGCCUCUCUUUUAUAUGUUCACUGCUUCCACUAUCCAUCCUUAGUCCUACGAAGAGAUAGAGCAUUCCAACAACAACCCUUUCUUCCCCUG